Molecule: ribosomal RNA, 411 nt
Filed under: Verrucomicrobiota bacterium
Lineage: Bacteria; Pseudomonadati; Verrucomicrobiota
Description: Verrucomicrobia bacterium partial 16S ribosomal RNA
Rfam family: Bacterial small subunit ribosomal RNA
Source: RNAcentral
UGGGGAAUCUUGCACAAUGGGCGAAAGCCUGAUGCAGCGACGCCGCGUGCGGGAUGAAGGCCUUCGGGUUGUAAACCGCUUUCAGCAGGGACGAGGCCGCAAGGUGACGGUACCUGCAGAAGAAGCCCCGGCUAACUACGUGCCAGCAGCCGCGGUAAUACGUAGGGCGCGAGCGUUGUCCGGAAUUAUUGGGCGUAAAGGGCUUGUAGGCGGUUGGCCGCGUCUGCCGUGAAAUCCUCUGGCUUAACUGGGGGCGUGCGGUGGGUACGGGUUGACUUGAGUGCGGUAGGGGAGGCUGGAAUUCCUGGUGUAGCGGUGGAAUGCGCAGAUAUCAGGAGGAACACCGGUGGCGAAGGCGGGUCUCUGGGCCGUUACUGACGCUGAGGAGCGAAAGCGUGGGGAGCGAACAGG